GACAGAGGGGGCAAGCGUUGCUCGGAAUCACUGGGCGUAAAGAGCGUGUAGGCGGUCCGGUAAGUCGGCUGUGAAAGUCCAGGGCUCAACCCUGGGAUGCAGGUCGAUACUGCCGGACUAGAGUUCGGAAGAGGCGAGUGGAAUUCCCGGUGUAGCGGUGAAAUGCGCAGAUAUCGGGAGGAACACCUAUGGCGAAGGCAGCACUCUGGGACGUGACUGACGCUGAGACGCGAAAGCGUGGGGAGCAAACAGG
This 253-nucleotide ribosomal RNA is filed under the name uncultured bacterium. RNAcentral's name for it is "partial 16S ribosomal RNA". It matches the Rfam family "Bacterial small subunit ribosomal RNA", at positions 524 to 776 of the family's 1533-position model. The record is from RNAcentral.